UGAGGAGUGGCUUCCGGAGCUAACGCGUUAAGUCGACCGCCUGGGGAGUACGGCCGCAAGGUUAAAACUCAAAUGAAUUGACGGGGGCCCGCACAAGCGGUGGAGCAUGUGGUUUAAUUCGAUGCAACGCGAAGAACCUUACCUACUCUUGACAUCCAGAGAACUUAGCAGAGAUGCUUUGGUGCCUUCGGGAACUCUGAGACAGGUGCUGCAUGGCUGUCGUCAGCUCGUGUUGUGAAAUGUUGGGUUAAGUCCCGCAACGAGCGCAACCCUUAUCCUUUGUUGCCAGCGGUCCGGCCGGGAACUCAAAGGAGACUGCCAGUGAUAAACUGGAGGAAGGUGGGGAUGACGUCAAGUCAUCAUGGCCCUUACGAGUAGGGCUACACACGUGCUACAAUGGCGCAUACAAAGAGAAGCGAACUCGCGAGAGCAAGCGAACCUCAUAAAGUGCGUCGUAGUCCGGAUUGGAGUCUGCAACUCGACUCCAUGAAGUCGGAAUCGCUAGUAAUC
This 510-nucleotide ribosomal RNA is filed under the name uncultured bacterium. RNAcentral describes it as "bacterial SSU rRNA". It matches the Rfam family "Bacterial small subunit ribosomal RNA", at positions 833 to 1343 of the family's 1533-position model. The record is from RNAcentral.